ACGCUCGACACCUACGGAGGCAGCAGUAGGGAAUAUUGCACAAUGGGGGAAACCCUGAUGCAGCGACGCCGCGUGAAGGAAGAAGUAUCUCGGUAUGUAAACUUCUAUCAGCAGGGAAGAAAGUGACGGUACCUGACUAAGAAGCCCCGGCUAACUACGUCNCGGCAGCCGCGGUAAUCUGAGCGGGCUGGCAAGGC
This 197-nucleotide ribosomal RNA is filed under the name uncultured bacterium. RNAcentral describes it as "partial 16S ribosomal RNA". It matches the Rfam family "Bacterial small subunit ribosomal RNA", at positions 328 to 539 of the family's 1533-position model. The record is from RNAcentral.